CAAGGCUGCUCAUUUCAGGUGAAACCUUCUGGCAAGGAAGGGGAGGAAUAGCUGGAACCAAUUCUGCACAUUGGGGCAGCCUCAGCACAGGGAGGAUGUUGCAGACCACGCUUUUCUCUGCACUGAAGGGACUUCUUGGAGCUUUCCAGGUGGCUUCUCCAAGACCCGUUACAUCUUUGUGCAGAAACCAGGAUGCCAGGAGAGAUGAGACCUCUAGAACAGCACUGGCAAACGAUGCAAACUGUGUGUUAUGGGAUAUCUUCCAUAAGAAAAUGGAAUAGAUGACGUUCCAUUUCUCCUGCCUGUACACCUCAGGGUAAGUAAAGAACUGCUAUGAGGCAAUAUAAAUCCUUAGCCAUAUGGACUGUUUUUAAAAUUAUUCUUGUCUUAAUUCUCAAUAGCAGGAAGAGUAAUCAAGUCUUUAAAAACCAAGAAAAGAAUGUGAAUAGGUGUUAACCUCAGUUCUUUAGUGAAUUUUACUUACCAACAUUUUUAUAUUAGCUCAGUAAUAAAAGUUCACAGAAAAAAUAAACUAACUGAAAUGUUACCUACCACUUCAGUUUCCUUAUCACAUCAAAAUUUUAUUAGAAAUGGUUUUUUUUCACCCAGAGGGUUGUUGAGCACUGGAACAAGCUCCAUAGGGAAGUGGUCACAGCACCAGCCUGAGUUCAAGAAAUGUUUGUACAAUGCUCUCAGGCACAUGGUGUGACUCCUGGAGAUGGUUCUGUGCAGGGCCAGAGGUUGGACUCAGGGACCCUGAUGGGUCUCUUCCAACCUGGUAUAUCCUGUGAUUUCUUCUCCUAGUUCUUCAAAAAAUUUGGAAUAGUGGUAUCUCAGUCAAAUCACAUUUCUGCCAACAUUAUGAUACAAUAAAUAACUUUCUGAUUCUUGCCUAUGUUUAUUCCUCUCUUAAAGUAACUUCCUAUUUACAGACAUGUAAUUUUGUGACAGUUGGAAAUAAUUCAGAGCUGACGUAUGCUCAUUCAUUUAUAAAAGGGGAAGGUUAAAACCUUCAGCUAAAAACUGAAUAAUAUGGAAAGGAGUGUGUUCAGUCCAAAUUCAGCCUGGCACUUAGCCAUGUUGUUUAACUUGAAGCUUGUCAUUGCCAUUGAUAUUCAGAUGAGUAUUCAUGUGCAAUUGUUGACAAUCAAGCAAUUGUUUAAGUGUAGCAGCAGAUCAGAGGCAGAACUCCCACCCCUUUGCAGUAAAAAAAGGCUACUUAUAAAAAU
Passer domesticus (house sparrow) is the source of this 1229-nucleotide long non-coding RNA. RefSeq lists it as uncharacterized. NCBI's taxonomy places the organism in Eukaryota, Metazoa, Chordata, Aves, Passeriformes, Passeridae. The record is from RefSeq and is a predicted model, not a curated record. The transcript has 3 exons.